This 28-nucleotide non-coding RNA is filed under the name Bombyx mori (domestic silkworm). Lineage: Eukaryota; Metazoa; Arthropoda; Insecta; Lepidoptera; Bombycidae. The record is from RNAcentral.
UAUUGUGUGAUAACGAGGUUAUGAUGAU